GUAACGCGUGGGAACGUGCCCUUUUCUACGGAAUAGCCUUUGGAAACGAAGAGUAAUACCGUAUACGCCCUUUGGGGGAAAGAUUUAUCGGAGAAGGAUCGGCCCGCGUUAGAUUAGAUAGUUGGUGGGGUAACGGCCUACCAAGUCUACGAUCUAUAGCUGGUUUUAGAGGAUGAUCAGCAACACUGGGACUGAGACACGGCCCAGACUCCUACGGGAGGCAGCAGUGGGGAAUCUUAGACAAUGGGCGCAAGCCUGAUCUAGCCAUGCCGCGUGAGUGAUGAAGGCCUUAGGGUCGUAAAGCUCUUUCGCCUGUGAUGAUAAUGACAGUAGCAGGUAAAGAAACCCCGGCUAACUCCGUGCCAGCAGCCGCGGUAAUACGGAGGGGGUUAGCGUUGUUCGGAAUUACUGGGCGUAAAGCGCACGUAGGCGGAUUGGAAAGUUGGGGGUGAAAUCCCGGGGCUCAACCCCGGAACUGCCUCCAAAACUAUCAGUCUAGAGUUCGAGAGAGGUGAGUGGAAUUCCAAGUGUAGAGGUGAAAUUCGUAGAUAUUUGGAGGAACACCAGUGGCGAAGGCGGCUCACUGGCUCGAUACUGACGCUGAGGUGCGAAAGUGUGGGGAGCAAACAGGAUUAGAUACCCUGGUAGUCCACACCGUAAACGAUGAAUGCCAGUCGUCGGGCAGUAUACUGUUCGGUGACACACCUAACGGAUUAAGC
This 719-nucleotide ribosomal RNA is filed under the name uncultured marine bacterium. RNAcentral describes it as "bacterial SSU rRNA". It matches the Rfam family "Bacterial small subunit ribosomal RNA", at positions 110 to 865 of the family's 1533-position model. The record is from RNAcentral.